Xiphophorus hellerii (green swordtail) is the source of this 137-nucleotide long non-coding RNA. RefSeq lists it as uncharacterized. The transcript is spliced from 3 exons. NCBI's taxonomy places the organism in Eukaryota, Metazoa, Chordata, Actinopteri, Cyprinodontiformes, Poeciliidae. The record is from RefSeq and is a predicted model, not a curated record.
UUAUAUUAUUAUAUUAUAGCAGGGGUCACCAACACGGUGCCCGCGGGCCCCCGGUCGCCCGAGGGGACCUUGUCAGUCGCCCGCAGAGCAAGUUCUAAAAAUAGCCAUUGUCAUUAGGGAGCACUGCCAACAAAAUU